ACAGAGGGCUCGCCCCCAAGCCCUGAGUUUUUGUUUCAGUAGCUCUGUCGUGGGCAGGGGUAGAGGGAAAAGGACGAGAAUUUUGUUCCCAGGUAAUGCUAAUACUGCUGGUUCAGGGACCAUACUUUGAGAACCACUGAUACAGAGGUAUGAAUGAAAUCAUACGAUAUUUGUCUUUCACUGACUUACUUUGCUUCGCAUAAUACCCUCAAGAUCCAUCUACAUUGUCACAAAUGGUACUAUUUUUCCUUUUUUAUGGCUGAGUAGUAUUCCAUUGUGUGUGUAUAUACACAUACAGACACACACACACCCCACAUCUUCUUUAGGAUCAUGUUAUCUCUCCUGCCAACUUCCUGAUGUCACAUGUCUGCACCUCCAUCUAGAUUCCUUGAUGACAUGCCUUCCCUGUCCCAGAGCUGGAGGCAGUUCUGGAUGUGUGCACAGCAGCCUCUGGGGACCUUCCACAUUUUCCAUCUGCUGCUGGAGCCCAUUUUCUUGAACCUUAGUUUCCUGCCUGAAGACGGGAACAAUUUAUACCCCCUUCUCCAUGAGCUUGGAAGGCUGACAGAGAAGAUUAAGAUCAUUGCCAUCAAGUUUUUAUCUGCUAUAAGCAAAAACAGGAAACCAAGAAAUAAAGGCACAGCUUAGCAAUAGCUUCUGAGUGGGUAACAUGGGAGAAGUUUUUCUUAAAUCCUCUUUCCCAUGUACCUUCCCACCCACAUGUUCUUAGUCAGAUUUAUUUUUUGCAUAUCAGUUUCUGAGGAUGACAAGAAACUUGCCCUUUUCUUAACUAUGGUUUUCAGAAGCAGAUUAUCCUGCGCUUAGUCGAGACCUCUUACUGAACCCUUGGAAUAAAUAAUACCCUGGGCUUAGGAAGUGGGUGUUGAAUAGAGAUUUUAUGACUCAUAAUGGAGUGUCAAAAUAGCCACUGCUGAUGUAUGGGUUCCUUAUCAGUUUUGGAAAUGACCCUGGGUAGAGCCGCACUUUCCUCUUGUAUUGAAAUUCCGUGAUUGAGGGAAAGUUUUAACAAGAACGUUCAGCAUCUCUUGAUAUUUAAAAGUCCCACAUUGAAUGGUGGCAUUUUUCAAAGGGGACUUGAGUUUAGCCUGGAAAGGCAGCUGUCCUCAGAAGAGGGGACCAGAGCAUUUCUCCAGGGUGGGCAGCUCAGGACCUAAGCUGCCAGGAUGAAUGGAGAAAAAGAUUGGCAUUUCCCUAGCCUAUGUCUUGAGGUUCUUGUUCUCAAAGGAGGAUGAGGUCAGGGUUCUACGCUUUCUCCUAGAGUAGAAUGAGAGAUCUCUCAUAAUAUCCAGCAGUUAGCAACAUUUCUAGGGCUCAGACCUUUGCUAUUCUCUCUCCCCUGCUGGAGGAAAUGAAAGGUAUAGUUCUCUCCUUAGGUCUGAGGGCAGCCUCACCUUGAGCUGAGCCCUCUCUUGGGAUAUUAUCUCAACUACCACACUCUCAGCAUAGGCCCCAUUAGUAAAGUCUUCUCAUUAGUGAUUGUUUUGUAGUAAUGAGGUUCUAUGAUAUGCCCCUUAGAUUGUUAGUUCUCCAUGUAGAUACCAUUCAGACAACAAAUAUAUCUACUGUGUUCAUGGUACAGUGGGCUACUUGAAAACAAUAUGAAAUAUAUUUCUAUUCCUCAUGAGUUCAAGAGCCAGUUGGGGAGAUUAAAAAAAACCUAGACAAAGUAGAGAAAAAUACAGGUCAGCUUAAAAUGGAGUGCUAGAUUUUGUGAUUCAGACUAUAGGGCUUAGCAGGAAAGAGGAGAGAGAAGUAAUGUGGGC
RNAcentral lists this long non-coding RNA (1784 nucleotides) under Equus asinus (donkey). RNAcentral describes it as "lncRNA (ENSEASG00005034444.1)". Lineage: Eukaryota; Metazoa; Chordata; Mammalia; Perissodactyla; Equidae. The record is from RNAcentral.